Molecule: ribosomal RNA, 253 nt
Filed under: Phocaeicola plebeius DSM 17135
Lineage: Bacteria; Pseudomonadati; Bacteroidota; Bacteroidia; Bacteroidales; Bacteroidaceae
Description: partial 16S ribosomal RNA
Rfam family: Bacterial small subunit ribosomal RNA
Source: RNAcentral
UACGGAGGAUGCGAGCGUUAUCCGGAUUUAUUGGGUUUAAAGGGAGCGCAGACGGGUCGUUAAGUCAGCUGUGAAAGUUUGGGGCUCAACCUUAAAAUUGCAGUUGAUACUGGCGUCCUUGAGUGCGGUUGAGGUGUGCGGAAUUCGUGGUGUAGCGGUGAAAUGCUUAGAUAUCACGAAGAACUCCGAUUGCGAAGGCAGCACACUAAUCCGUAACUGACGUUCAUGCUCGAAGGUGUGGGUAUCAAACAGG